This is a non-coding RNA of Podarcis lilfordi (Lilford's wall lizard), 71 nucleotides long. The record is from the annotation of a GenBank genome assembly. NCBI's taxonomy places the organism in Eukaryota, Metazoa, Chordata, Lepidosauria, Squamata, Lacertidae.
GGGUCUUAGCUCUGUGGUAGAACAUCUGCCUUGCAUGCAGAAGGCCCAAGGUUCAAUCCCCAACAUGUCCA